RNAcentral lists this non-coding RNA (150 nucleotides) under uncultured Fusobacterium sp. Lineage: Bacteria; Fusobacteriati; Fusobacteriota; Fusobacteriia; Fusobacteriales; Fusobacteriaceae. The record is from RNAcentral.
UUGAGGUUCUAAUGUUUUAGAUUAAAAGGGAAGAUAGGUAAAAGCCUACACGGUCCCGCCACUGUGAUGCAGACGAGAAAUACAGACCACUGAGCAUUUGGGAAGGGUAUUUCAAGGACGAAGCUAAGUCAGGAGACCUGCCUUAAACAA